GUUGUGAGUAUAGACUUUGAAGACGAAAAUUUUGGCCAGCGGAAAGGUCUGUGUUUGUUAUUGUUUUGGUAACUCCGCCGUAGGCUUUGUGCUGUUCCGAUUUAUAAGAUAGGAAAAGUAGAACACUAAAUUGUUGGAGAGAGAAUAGGAAACGUAAUAUACAUUGACAUACUGGGAGUCACUGAAGCGUUUAACGAUGGGACGUGCUAAAAGCAGAAAGUGACAUGCAGCUAAGCAGUAGAUACUGUGAGAGAAUUGCAUUUGCAAAACAUGAUACUGAAGUAGCAGGAACACAUCGCAAAUUCAGUAGUACCACAACAGAAUGACUACAGGAGCGAAAUGUACACCUCGCCACUCUAAAUUGGGGCCCAGCUCAACGCCAGAUUGCAGAAGAACGUCUCUGAGAAAUAGGGUACCCUGGAACUUAUUUAAGCUCUUAUGGGGCGUGAUGGUUACAGAAACAUCCGCCAGCUUGUCACACGCUAUUAAUGUUGGAGACUGGGCUGAGGAUGCUGUUUUGAUCAAGACUGACCCACAUCUCGUUUUGGACAAUCCCUCCACCACUCCAAAUGCUCCACAAGAAACUGAGAUUUCAUCGUCAUGCAAGAUUGCCCAUCAGCUAUUGAACAUACAAGGUACCAUGGUGAAUAAGUUCCCCUGCCAUCGUUAGCCUGAUGUUCCUUCCAUGGUGUGGCCAAGAAGGGGAACGAUUUGGUGUCACACUUCUGUGCGUUGAAUUGAACUUGUGAUCGCUAAGAGACUGCUAGUGUUUCACCACCACCAGCAAGAGAUGAUGGUCUACACUUCAUCGCAUGUCAUUCACCCUGAUGCCACCCACUCAGACCAGGGGCACUACCCACAGGUGCCACCUGGCAGGGCGGCCAUUGCCGGGCGUCCCGAUGCACCAGUAGGCAUGGGUAUCUACCCCUUGGCAUAGGUGGUGAUUUAAUGGCGCAGGCAUCAGCUGUGUGUUCCCUGUGUGGUCAGGGGGGCUACAACCAACACGGUACAUGGCAACCCCACCACAAUGGACUGGCUACCGUGCUGGAUUUCAGGUGCAAAGAAAUCCAUGGUCAUUGUCGACACAGAAAGCGACACUGCACAACGCAUGGUGGAAAACACAUCCAGGAAGGUGUCCUCACCCAAGAGAUGGGGAAUGAGUGGGACUGAGAUGCGACAAUGAGGAAGUGGGCUAAAGAUUUCAAUGCAUGAUGGAAAUUAUGCACCAUGUAAGGCUCCCUUCCCCAGUUGGCUUGAUCUUCGGGAAAGUUUUGAAGAAGGGAGUUCAAAACCCUACAGGGGACCGUCACAAAGGCCGAAACAUGGGAAACUCUUUUUAAUCGCCUGUUAUGGCAGGCAGGAAUACCUAGGUUGUAUUCUUACCCCCGGAUGUGCAGGGGGAGAACCAUCAGUGAUUUCACCAUACAGGCAAAGCAAAGAUGACUGAUGUGAAUCUACUACUUACUAUCUAAAUAUUUUGGGGAUGGCUGGAUGAGCAUAUGAGAUGUAGAUUUCUGUGCGAACUUCAUUGGUGCAUUUCCUAUUGUAACUGCCAAUGAGGAAGAGGUUUGUACAUCAGCUUGUGGUUGCUUGAAAGGAGCAUGAGGACCUUACCAAAUAUUAAGAGAAACCAAAAGAAUGGCCAUUCUCAAGAUUCUAUAAAUCAAAAUAUUUACCAAAAAGACAUACUGAAUUUGAUAUGAAAUGAUUUAUUGUGUAAUAAAAAUAUUUGCAAAGACAAAUGGCACCAAAAAGGACAUCAUUAACACUAUUAUUCUACAAUAGUAACAAAAAUAAAUACUGUUAUGUAUUUGCCUCAUUAA
Long non-coding RNA from Schistocerca gregaria, 1823 nucleotides. RefSeq lists it as uncharacterized. NCBI's taxonomy places the organism in Eukaryota, Metazoa, Arthropoda, Insecta, Orthoptera, Acrididae. The record is from RefSeq and is a predicted model, not a curated record. The transcript has 3 exons.